CCCUUAGAUGUUCUGGGCCGCACGCGUGCUACACUGAACGGUUCAAUGGGUAAGGUAGUGCGAAAGCAUGACCUAAUCUCGAAAUCCAUUCGUGCUGGGGAUAGAAGCUUGCAAUUAUCCUUCUUGAACGAGGAAUACCUUGUAAGCGUGAGUCAUCAUCUCACGCUGAAUACGUCCCUGCCCUUUGUACACACCGCCCGUCGCUCCUACCGAUUGAGUGUUCCGGUGAGGCUUUGGGAGAAUGGCCUCAACAUGAGUUUAUCGUGUUUUGCCGUUUGAACUUAGUCAAACCUUAUCACUUAGAGGAAGGAGAAGUCGUAACA
Molecule: ribosomal RNA, 323 nt
Filed under: uncultured eukaryote
Lineage: Eukaryota
Description: partial 18S ribosomal RNA
Rfam family: Eukaryotic small subunit ribosomal RNA
Source: RNAcentral